AGAACGAACGCUGGCGGCAGGCCUAACACAUGCAAGUCGAGCGCCCCGCAAGGGGAGCGGCGGACGGGUGAGUAACACGUGGGGGAUUUUCCUCAAGGUACGGAACAACUCAGGGAAACUUGGGCUAAUACCGUAUGAUGUCUAGCGACCAAAGAUUUAUCGCCUUGGGAUAAGCCCGCGUCAGAUUAGGUAGUUGGUGAGGUAACGGCUCACCAAGCCUGUGAUCUGUAGCUGGUCUGAGAGGACGAUCAGCCACAUUGGGGACUGAGACACGGCCCAAACCUCCUACGGGAGGCAGCAGUGGGGAAUCUUGCGCAGUGGGCGAAAGCCUGACGCAGCCAU
RNAcentral lists this ribosomal RNA (342 nucleotides) under uncultured soil bacterium. RNAcentral's name for it is "bacterial SSU rRNA". It matches the Rfam family "Bacterial small subunit ribosomal RNA", at positions 26 to 395 of the family's 1533-position model. The record is from RNAcentral.